Molecule: non-coding RNA, 19 nt
Filed under: Rattus norvegicus (Norway rat)
Lineage: Eukaryota; Metazoa; Chordata; Mammalia; Rodentia; Muridae
Source: RNAcentral
CUGAAUUAGAUGGAACUGC